UGCUCCUGUCAUUGAAUCCUGUGUCUGCUACAAAUGUUUGUGCCAUCAUUGUUCAAGUAGAGCUGAUUUAUGUCUUGUUCAGCUUGCGCACAGCAGGUUUUUUUUGUUUGUUUUGCUGUAAACCACAGAUUGAUUCCCCAUUAGCCGCACUGGGUACUCAGGCACAGAGCUCAGAUUUCUGGUUUUGCUUCCAGAAUUAGGGCCUUAUUUUGCAUGUGGCAACAUAAGACUUAAGCUCCUCUUUGCACACAGGUUUUUGGAAGUUAGUGAAUUCCCAUGUGCUUAUGUGCCAUUUGAAACCGCGAUGUGGAUGCCUUGGGAAACUUCACCUUGUAUGUGUAACCUCUGAAUGGAUGAUUUAAUUUCUGAGGAGUUGAUGAGCCACAUCUUCCAAAGAAAAUUUGAUGUUUAGGAGUGUGUUACAGAGGCACCAUUAAAGCCAGAUGUUUUAAAGCUGUGGAAGACAGUAAACUGGAGAAGGCAUCAGAGAAUGAUGACAGCAUGGGGAGACUGACAGUCAUCAGGCCUGUCCGAGAAGGCUUCUGGACACGUGGUUACAUCAGGUCAAGACUGUGAUCUUGGAAGCUUGCUGCAGCAGGUGAAUGGGCUGGAAUAAGGAUCAGUUCCACUGUGAUGUGCCACAGCCUCAGAACCAAAGCCGAAGCCUGCAUUUAGCUUGGGUAGGACUUAAGCACCACUGCUGUCCUCUCUCUCCGCCUCUGGAGAGUUACCUUGGUCCCAGGUUGAAGCCAGGCUCAAGAUGCUGAUAACGUGCUGUUCCUCAGGAAUUUCAGUCCUAAGAAGAAACUUUUAGUUAUGUUCUUACUUCAUGUCCUUUGGGGAAAGGACUGUCCAUCAUCGCAGCUAAGUAGAUGGGGAAAGUUCCCUCUUACCUCUUUCUCUGAAAAGCAAAGGAACUGCUGGGAACAGAGGGCUGGGAGAGCUGCUACUAUACUUGAAGAGACAAAGCAAGCAGAAAGAGCCUGGCAGCUCAGGGCAGCUACACCUCUUUUUCUGCUAUCACAAGCAUUUUAGCGUGCUUUUUUGUUCCUCCCACUCCUUUCCUCCUCAUUGUGACAUGAGGCUUGCCAAGCAGAAAGGGAGAGCCUGAAACUGCUUGCCUUGAGGCCUGGGAGGGGAGGAAAGAGCAGCUUAUAUUGUCAGAUUGGAAGGAGGCAGAGGGGCAAAGGGCAGAUAUGUGGCUGGGGGUGGAGUGGCACAAGGGAGAGAGGGAUGCAGGCUGCAGAGAGUUAAGGAGGAACACUGGAUUAAUUAGUCUUGGGAGAAGGUAUGGUAAAAAGUCAAGAAUCUCUCACAAUAGAUUCAAUGUAACUUCAUUUGGGGAGUCCUGCUUGAAGUCCCCUAACUGGGAGCAUUCCCAGCUUGCUCUGUGAAAGUAAAUCUUUAAGCAGUUGCAAUAAAAGCCACACACGUACAUAUACAGGGCUCGGUUCCUUAUGUGACAUUAAACAGUUCCCUACAUCCAAUAAAUCUCUAAAUCCCACACCCCAUCACUCUUCAGAUAUGGUGGAGAGCUGACUCAAUUUUUGAACCUGUAGCCUUGUCUUCUCCAUGUUAGCAGCUUCCUUAAAAUGACACAUCAGUGAUGUGAUAACCAUUUUAAACUUUUAAAAGGAGUUUUUAACCUUUUUUUUUUUUGUGAGCUGCUGAAACAGCAAACGUUCCUAUAAUUAUGCAAAGUUAAAUGGUGUUACAGUAGUAGCUAUACUAUACACUAGCUGUCACCACAGCUAGAUGUUUGAAAUUUGACAGAUAGUAUUGUUAUGUAUGAUAGAUGUCAUCACGUAUGACAGGAAAUAUGAAACAGUUUUAGAAAAGAUAUGAAUAAGUCUCUUGCAAAUUCAUCUUACUGGAACUCUGUUACAGAAAAUUACCCACUAGUGUCAUAAAGCUCUGUUCAGUUAUGCUUCAUUUCUACUCUUCAGUUCUCGUUUGUGUAAACACCCUACUACCAUUCUGUCAUCACAAAAUGGGGCUUUUUUUUGUCUUUAUCUGCUGAUUCUCCAUAGGAAAGGCCAGACCAUGACUGUGCUGGGAGAUUUUGAGCUUCGGUCAGUGUUCUGGUACCUGCUGUGGAAGUUUUUGAGAUUUCUGUAUGCAGAGGUACUGUCUUAAACCCCUCCAGUGGAAAUUUAUAUUCUGUCUUCCUCCUGUUCUUCCCCCGUGACUCUCAAUGUCUGCAGUCCUUAUCAGUCACGUCGUUUCCCCUCGUGCAGUCUGCAGAG
Harpia harpyja (harpy eagle) is the source of this 2246-nucleotide long non-coding RNA. RefSeq lists it as uncharacterized. Lineage: Eukaryota; Metazoa; Chordata; Aves; Accipitriformes; Accipitridae. The transcript has 4 exons. The record is from RefSeq and is a predicted model, not a curated record.